GCACUGGAGAGGAGUCCCACAAUAGGACGAAACAGCUGUCCAGUGC
RNAcentral lists this non-coding RNA (46 nucleotides) under Schistosoma margrebowiei. The record is from RNAcentral. Lineage: Eukaryota; Metazoa; Platyhelminthes; Trematoda; Strigeidida; Schistosomatidae.